AUAUAUAUAUAUUGGUGAAUAUGGCGGCGGCAUUUAAAGCACUUCACAGACCACAGUCACAUUGAUUUUCCUCUUUAAUUAAUACAGUGCCUUUGUUCUGUUUUACAGUAUACGGCAAAAUAUUUACUUCAAAAACUAUUUAAAGUUGUAAGCUGUAUCAAAGCUUGUAAACAAAUUAUAAAUUAUGGCUGUAUAAGCCUGUAUGCCUAUAUAAAAAUAUCACAGAUUCGGACGACGUUGUUGAAACAGUAGUUUAUAUUUUUUACCUGAAAUUCCUGCUUUCGGUUCAAACAAUUCGACCAUGUGCAUUUGUGUUGAUCUCCCUCAACAAUCCCAUCAUUUUUAAUGGCUUUCACACCAUGGCUUUCGUUUAAUAUUUGUAAUCUCGCCUUGGUUUUAUAACUUCUGAGGUUUUCAAUGUUCCUGGCAAGCAACA
Paramuricea clavata is the source of this 436-nucleotide non-coding RNA. The record is from the annotation of a GenBank genome assembly. Lineage: Eukaryota; Metazoa; Cnidaria; Anthozoa; Malacalcyonacea; Plexauridae.